This 502-nucleotide ribosomal RNA is filed under the name uncultured bacterium. RNAcentral's name for it is "bacterial SSU rRNA". It matches the Rfam family "Bacterial small subunit ribosomal RNA", at positions 28 to 521 of the family's 1533-position model. The record is from RNAcentral.
GAUGAACGCUAGCGACAGGCCUAACACAUGCAAGUCGAGGGGCAGCACAUGAGUAGCAAUACGAUGGUGGCGACCGGCGCACGGGUGAGUAACACGUAUGCAACCUGCCUGUAAGAGGGGAAUAACCCGGAGAAAUUCGGACUAAUACCGCAUAAUACCACGAGACUGCAUGGUUUUGUGGUUAAACAUUUAUGGCUUACAGAUGGGCAUGCGUAUGAUUAGAUAGUUGGUAGGGUAACGGCCUACCAAGUCUACGAUCAUUAGGGGUUCUGAGAGGAAGGUCCCCCACACUGGUACUGAGACACGGACCAGACUCCUACGGGAGGCAGCAGUGAGGAAUAUUGGUCAAUGGGCGAGAGCCUGAACCAGCCAAGUCGCGUGAAGGAAGAAGGUUCUAUGGAUUGUAAACUUUCUUUUGCAGGGGAAUAAAGGACGGUACGUGUACUGUUUUGUAUGUACCUUGCGAAUAAGGAUCGGCUAACUCCGUGCCAGCAGCCGCGGU